Molecule: ribosomal RNA, 463 nt
Filed under: uncultured bacterium
Lineage: Bacteria
Description: bacterial SSU rRNA
Rfam family: Bacterial small subunit ribosomal RNA
Source: RNAcentral
GGGCCCGCACAAGCGGAGGAACAUGUGGUUUAAUUCGAUGAUACGCGAGGAACCUUACCCGGGCUUGAAUUGCAACAGAAUAAUCAUGAAAGUGGUUAGCCGCAAGGCUGUUGUGAAGGUGCUGCAUGGUUGUCGUCAGCUCGUGCCGUGAGGUGUCGGCUUAAGUGCCAUAACGAGCGCAACCCUUAUUGACAGUUACUAACGGGCAAAGCCGAGGACUCUGUCGAGACUGCCGUCGUAAGAUGUGAGGAAGGGGGGGAUGACGUCAAAUCAGCACGGCCCUUACGUCCGGGGCUACACACGUGUUACAAUGGGGGGUACAGAAGGCAGCGAAGGGGCGACCCGAAGCCAAUCCCGAAAACCUCUCUCAGUUCGGACUGGAGUCUGCAACCCGACUCCACGAAGCUGGAUUCGCUAGUAAUCGCGCAUCAGCCAUGGCGCGGUGAAUACGUUCCCGGGCCUU